AAUUCUCAACCCCUCUCGAUUUGCUUCGAGAGGGCGCUUGGAUGGUGGAGGCUGCCGGAGACCUGGAUUCGUUCAGGACUCGGGCUCCUCUGAAAUGAAUCGGCUUGCGGUCGACCCUUCGACUUUGCAUGACAAGGCCUUUGGCGUGAUAAUGAUCGCCGUUCGCCGAAGUGCACGACAGAAAACGGUCCCGCGCCUCUAAUGCGUCGACGCCUUCCGGGCGUCUUCCUCAUUGAC
RNAcentral lists this unclassified non-coding RNA (237 nucleotides) under Suillus granulatus. Its description in RNAcentral is "partial internal transcribed spacer 2". The record is from RNAcentral. Lineage: Eukaryota; Fungi; Basidiomycota; Agaricomycetes; Boletales; Suillaceae. RNAcentral also lists the same sequence under 1 other name.